This 440-nucleotide ribosomal RNA is filed under the name uncultured bacterium. RNAcentral describes it as "partial 16S ribosomal RNA". It matches the Rfam family "Bacterial small subunit ribosomal RNA", at positions 338 to 795 of the family's 1533-position model. The record is from RNAcentral.
CCUACGGGGCGCAGCAGUGGGGAAUAUUGCACAAUGGGGGAAACCCUGAUGCAGCGACGCCGCGUGAGUGAAGAAGUAAUUCGUUAUGUAACGCUCUAUCAGCAGGGAAGAAAAUGACGGUACCUGAGUAAGAAGCCCCGGCUAACUACGUGCCAGCAGCCGCGGUAAUACGUAGGGGGCAAGCGUUAUCCGGAUUUACUGGGUGGAAAGGGAGCGUAGACGGCAGUGCAAGUCUGGAGUGAAAGGCGGGGGCUCAACCCCCGGACUGCUCUGGAAACUGUACGGCUGGAGUGCAGGAGAGGUAAGUGGAAUUCCUAGGGUAGCGGUGAAAUGCGUAGAUAUUAGGAGGAACACCAGUGGCGAAGGCGGCUUACUGGACUGUAACUGACGUUGAGGCUCGAAAGCGUGGGGAGCAAACAGGAUUAGAUACCCCUGUAGUC